Molecule: ribosomal RNA, 878 nt
Filed under: uncultured bacterium
Lineage: Bacteria
Description: bacterial SSU rRNA
Rfam family: Bacterial small subunit ribosomal RNA
Source: RNAcentral
AGAGUUUGAUCCUGGCUCAGGAUGAACGCUGGCGGCGUGCCUAACACAUGCAAGUGAGCGAUUUACUUCGGUAAAGAGCGGCGGACGGGUGAGUAACGCGUGGGUAACCUGCCCUGUACACACGGAUAACAUACCGAAAGGUAUGCUAAUACGAGAUAAUAUGCUUUUAUCGCAUGGUAGAAGUAUCAAAGCUUUUGCGGUACAGGAUGGACCCGCGUCUGAUUAGCUAGUUGGUAAGGUAACGGCUUACCAAGGCGACGAUCAGUAGCCGACCUGAGAGGGUGAUCGGCCACAUUGGAACUGAGACACGGUCCAAACUCCUACGGGAGGCAGCAGUGGGGAAUAUUGCACAAUGGGCGAAAGCCUGAUGCAGCAACGCCGCGUGAGCGAUGAAGGCCUUCGGGUCGUAAAGCUCUGUCCUCAAGGAAGAUAAUGACGGUACUUGAGGAGGAAGCCCCGGCUAACUACGUGCCAGCAGCCGCGGUAAUACGUAGGGGGCUAGCGUUAUCCGGAAUUACUGGGCGUAAAGGGUGCGUAGGUGGUUUCUUAAGUCAGAGGUGAAAGGCUACGGCUCAACCGUAGUAAGCCUUUGAAACUGGGAAACUUGAGUGCAGGAGAGGAGAGUGGAAUUCCUAGUGUAGCGGUGAAAUGCGUAGAUAUUAGGAGGAACACCAGUUGCGAAGGCGGCUCUCUGGACUGUAACUGACACUGAGGCACGAAAGCGUGGGGAGCAAACAGGAUUAGAUACCCUGGUAGUCCACGCCGUAAACGAUGAGUACUAGCUGUCGGAGGUUACCCCCUUCGGUGGCGCAGCUAACGCAUUAAGUACUCCGCCUGGGAAGUACGCUCGCAAGAGUGAAACUCAAAGGAAUUGACGG